Molecule: ribosomal RNA, 434 nt
Filed under: uncultured bacterium
Lineage: Bacteria
Description: partial 16S ribosomal RNA
Rfam family: Bacterial small subunit ribosomal RNA
Source: RNAcentral
AGCGAACGCUGGCGGCAGGCUUAACACAUGCAAGUCGAACGGGCAGCUUCGGAUGUCAGUGGCAGACGGGGGCGGAACACGUGGGAACGUACCCGUCGGUUCGGAAUAACUCAGGGAAACUUGAGCUAAUACCGGAUACGCCCUCUGGGGGGAAGGUUUACUGCCGAAGGAUCGGCCCGCGUCUGAUUAUCUUGUUGGUGGGGGAACGGCCUACCAAGGCGACGAGCAGUAGCUGGGCUGAGCGGAUGAUCAGCCACACUGGGACUGAGACACGGCCCAGACUCCUACGGGGGGACGCAGUGGGGAAUAUUGGACAGUGGGCGCAAGCCUGAUCCCCCCCUGCCGCGUGAGUGCUGAAGGCCUUAGGGUUGUAAAGCUCUUUUGUCCGGGACGAUAAUGACGGUACCGGAAGACUAAGCCCCGGCUAUCUUCGU